CGAACGCUGGCGGCAGGCCUAACACAUGCAAGUCGAACGGACCCUUCGGGGUUAGUGGCGGACGGGUGAGUAACACGUGGGAACGUGCCUUUAGGUUCGGAAUAGCUCCUGGAAACGGGUGGUAAUGCCGAAUGUGCCCUUCGGGGGAAAGAUUUAUCGCCUUUAGAGCGGCCCGCGUCUGAUUAGCUAGUUGGUGAGGUAAUGGCUCACCAAGGCGACGAUCAGUAGCUGGUCUGAGAGGAUGACCAGCCACAUUGGGACUGAGACACGGCCCAAACUCCUACGGGAGGCAGCAGUGGGGAAUCUUGCGCAAUGGGCGAAAGCCUGACGCAGCCAUGCCGCGUGAAUGAUGAAGGUCUUAGGAUUGUAAAAUUCUUUCACCGGGGACGAUAAUGACGGUACCCGGAGAAGAAGCCCCGGCUAACUUCGUGCCAGCAGCCGCGGUAAUCUGAUGGCGCGAGG
This 462-nucleotide ribosomal RNA is filed under the name Brevundimonas terrae. RNAcentral describes it as "bacterial SSU rRNA". It matches the Rfam family "Bacterial small subunit ribosomal RNA", at positions 30 to 539 of the family's 1533-position model. Lineage: Bacteria; Pseudomonadati; Pseudomonadota; Alphaproteobacteria; Caulobacterales; Caulobacteraceae. The record is from RNAcentral.